RNAcentral lists this ribosomal RNA (617 nucleotides) under uncultured Cenococcum. Its description in RNAcentral is "eukaryotic LSU rRNA". It matches the Rfam family "Eukaryotic large subunit ribosomal RNA", at positions 1 to 633 of the family's 3401-position model. Lineage: Eukaryota; Fungi; Ascomycota; Dothideomycetes; Gloniales; Gloniaceae. The record is from RNAcentral.
UUGACCUCGGAUCAGGCAGGGAUACCCGCUGAACUUAAGCAUAUCAAUAAGCGGAGGAAAAGAAACCAACAGGGAUUGCCUCAGUAACGGCGAGUGAAGCGGCAACAGCUCAAAUUUGAAAUCUGGCUCUUUUAGGGUCCGAGUUGUAAUUUGUAGAGGAUGCUUCGGCGUCGGCUCCGGUCUAAGUUCCUUGGAACAGGACGUCAUAGAGGGUGAGAAUCCCGUAUGUGAUCGGUUGCCCUUGCCAUGUGAAGCUCCUUCGACGAGUCGAGUUGUUUGGGAAUGCAGCUCUAAAUGGGAGGUAAAUUUCUUCUAAAGCUAAAUACUGGCCAGAGACCGAUAGCGCACAAGUAGAGUGAUCGAAAGAUGAAAAGCACUUUGGAAAGAGAGUCAAAAAGUACGUGGAAUUGUUGAAAGGGAAGCGCUUGCAACCAGACCUGCCUGCAGUUGCUCAUCCGGGCUUUUGCCCGGUGCACUCUUCUGCCGUCAGGCCAGCAUCAGUCCGGGCGGUCGGAUAAAGGCUUCGGGAAUGUAGCUCCUCUCGAGGAGUGUUAUAGCCCGUUGCGAAAUGCGGCCAGCCUGAACUGAGGUCCGCGCUCGGCUAGGAUGCUGGCGUA